Long non-coding RNA from Nyctereutes procyonoides (raccoon dog), 2063 nucleotides. RefSeq lists it as uncharacterized. The record is from RefSeq and is a predicted model, not a curated record. NCBI's taxonomy places the organism in Eukaryota, Metazoa, Chordata, Mammalia, Carnivora, Canidae. The transcript is spliced from 5 exons.
GUGCGAGCGGAGCGCCCGGCAGACCCCCGGGAGGCGGCGGCGCCGCGCGGCCCCGGAGCGCGACUGCGGCCGGCCCGGGUUUCGGUUGGGCCGCCGGGGACGCCUCUGCCGCCUUGCGGGCGGCCGCGCAGCCGGGGAGGGGCGAGAGCUCCCGCGGCCACGGCGGCGCCCGGAGGGCAGAGUCGGCUUCCGGGUGCUGGCAAUUCCCAGAGAGCGUGGGCUCUGAGUGACCAGGGCAGGUGUUCAGUAACCCCCUAGUUCAACAAGUCUGACAGGUGUGAGGUGAUAUCUCCUUGUGUUUUGAUUCGCAUUUUCCUGAUGUGUCCUUACCAAGAGGCACUGCCAUUCAGACGGCUGCACAAGGCAGAAAAUGGAGGGGUCGUCCUGGAUGCCUCCCUCUUGUUUUCUAAUUCUUUGAAUUGGUGGAACACUUAAAAGAGGGUGGAGGAUGCUUGCUGCUCGGCUGCCCAGAAGAAUUGUGGCUGUCGCUGAUAAUCCUGACUGACCAGGAGCAAGGAAAGCCUGCCAGACCUUCCCUGGUUCCUAGACAAUGGACUUAAUGCUGAUUAAACUUGCCAAAUUUCCUAGUCACUGAAUUUUGGACUUAAAAAAAAAAAAAAACCCUAUAAAAACAAGAAACCAAACCAGAAACAAAAAUAAGUAUUGAUUUCUUGAUGAAUGCAUAGUGACUGAUUUAAAAACUGUGUAUAUUCCAAAAGUUACUGAUUCAUGUAAUACAUUUGAUCUAUGCAAGGGUAACAACGAUUGAGAAUUAAAACUAAAUCCCCUUUUGGGUCUGGUAAAGCCACUUGGUCUCCCUAAACUAAGGUCUGCCUGCCUUUAGUUUCUCUUUAAAAACACCCCAAGACAUAAUCUGUCAUGUCUAAGUUUUCCAUCAAGAUUAAGGUUCAUGACCUUUUCUUUCAAAAAGUUAAGUAUCAAGAGUAGUGAUUCCUACUCUUAAAUCAAAAUGCCAUUUAGGAUUACAACUGAUUACUGCCUCAAACAUUCCAGAGUAUUAUUUACAUAAAUCAGUGCCUUUUAAAAAUCAUAGUUAGGACCCUGUCUAAAGUGACUCUAGUCCAUCUGGAUACACUAAUUCAGCCAACUUUUGGUAGCUACAAGAGUUAAGUGAAGGCUACUAAAAGCCCCGAACAACAGGCUAGCUCUUUAGAGUUAGAGACCAAAUAUUUUUCAUUAAAGACAGAAAAAAAUUGAUUUUGGCUCAAAAUCUUAAAAGAGUAUCAGAGUAAUAUACUCUAAGCAGAAUAUCUGUAUGGAAUAAAGAAUCCAUAGUGAUAAAUUAAUGUUUGGUAUAAACUUUUUUCUGAGAAUAUGAAUGUUUAUGAGUAGUUUCUCUUUCCCUCUAAAAGGGAGUUUUCUCAAUCUAGUGGCUUAAAUAAAUUUGUAACUUCUGAGUUCAUUAAUGUAAGUGUAUUUUUGCAUGUUGAAGACCAUGAGAUCAUAUGGACCAUUUUAGCACACUCUAGGUUUUUCUAGUCUGGCCAAUUUGAAUCAGAAAACUGGGUUAAGUCACCAAUUAUUAUUAUGCAGUCAGAAUCCAGUCAUGACCUUUCACAUCUUCGCACUAGAUAACGUAAUUUUUUUUUAAGCCCAGAAUUGCUGUGAGAAUCACAUGCAACUAAAGAAAACUCAUCUCAACUGGAUUUUGUUAAGUUUUAACAAAAUUACCGGAGUUUUACUAUAACAUAACUAGCAUCCUUUAGAUAUUCUUAGCUAUUCCUCUUCAGAAAUAAUUUGCUGCUAAAUUGGCAGUAAGAGAUCAAAUACACAAAAGCUUGUUGAAGCUCAUCAGUCACUAUCCUGCUGGUCACUCUGUGGAAGAACUUUGUUUUUUGAAUGUUAGAAAGUUUUUCACCCACUGUAUGUACAAUCUCAUUUAUGAUGUAGAUUGCUUUUCAUCUUAUUUUGGUAGGCUCAGUCAGCAUCUGUACACAUUUUACAACAAAAUUUGUUCCAUUACUUUGUCAUUCAAGAAAAGAAUUAUUCUGAAAAUAAUUUAAGAAUAUAACAUAAGAGCCCUUUUCUUAAUUUGGAAAGCU